GGCCCCAUGGACUAGUGGUUAGGUCACCACCCUUUCAAGGUGGUAGCACGGGUUCAAAUCCCGUUGGGGUCA
RNAcentral lists this transfer RNA (72 nucleotides) under Chlorobium sp. Its description in RNAcentral is "tRNA-Glu". It matches the Rfam family "tRNA". Rfam says of the family: Transfer RNA (tRNA) molecules are approximately 80 nucleotides in length. The record is from RNAcentral. RNAcentral also lists the same sequence under 8 other names. Lineage: Bacteria; Pseudomonadati; Chlorobiota; Chlorobiia; Chlorobiales; Chlorobiaceae.